AGGAGAUUGCCUGCAAGGUCUGAUUGCAUGUUAUAAUUCAGUUCCCACUACUGUUGAUGUUGAAGCAAGGCAGAAGCUAUCAAUUUAGUCGCUAGGAGUGUGUCAUUUUUGCCUGCUGACAUUCAUAAAUUCCACAAUAUUGUAGCUUAUUGCUUGAAUGGGAUGGGGGGUUGUCAAGAUUUAAAUCCUUAACAUCCUGCAUUAUAAAUACUAUAAAUUUGAGUAUUCAAUCACUGAAUUAAUAAUUUAAUGCAGA
Molecule: unclassified non-coding RNA, 256 nt
Filed under: Hevea brasiliensis (rubber tree)
Lineage: Eukaryota; Viridiplantae; Streptophyta; Magnoliopsida; Malpighiales; Euphorbiaceae
Source: RNAcentral